GACGAACGCUGGCGGCGUGCCUAAUACAUGCAAGUAGAACGCUGAAGGAGGAGCUUGCUUCUCUGGAUGAGUUGCGAACGGGUGAGUAACGCGUAGGUAACCUGCCUGGUAGCGGGGGAUAACUAUUGGAAACGAUAGCUAAUACCGCAUAAGAGUAGAUGUUGCAUGACAUUUGCUUAAAAGGUGCAAUUGCAUCACUACCAGAUGGACCUGCGUUGUAUUAGCUAGUUGGUGGGGUAACGGCUCACCAAGGCGACGAUACAUAGCCGACCUGAGAGGGUGAUCGGCCACACUGGGACUGAGACACGGCCCAGACUCCUACGGGAGGCAGCAGUAGGGAAUCUUCGGCAAUGGACGGAAGUCUGACCGAGCAACGCCGCGUGAGUGAAGAAGGUUUUCGGAUCGUAAAGCUCUGUUGUAAGAGAAGAACGAGUGUGAGAGUGGAAAGUU
Molecule: ribosomal RNA, 450 nt
Filed under: Streptococcus mitis
Lineage: Bacteria; Bacillati; Bacillota; Bacilli; Lactobacillales; Streptococcaceae
Description: bacterial SSU rRNA
Rfam family: Bacterial small subunit ribosomal RNA
Source: RNAcentral